CGGAUAACGUCGCGAGCGUAACGGGUUGCGGAUUGGAC
This 38-nucleotide unclassified non-coding RNA is filed under the name uncultured bacterium. The record is from RNAcentral.